Regulatory RNA element from Camelus ferus (Wild Bactrian camel), 47 nucleotides. It matches the Rfam family "Histone 3' UTR stem-loop". Rfam says of the family: The mRNAs of metazoan histone genes lack a poly-A tail. 3' end processing occurs at a site between a highly conserved stem-loop (modelled by this family) and a purine rich region around 20 nts downstream (the histone downstream element, or HDE). The record is from Rfam. NCBI's taxonomy places the organism in Eukaryota, Metazoa, Chordata, Mammalia, Artiodactyla, Camelidae.
UCAAAGGCCCUUCUCAGGGCCACCCCACUAAAUCUGUUAGAAGAGCU